CCUACGCGGGGCAGCAGUGAGGAAUAUUGGUCAAUGGGCGGGAGCCUGAACCAGCCAAGCCGCGUGACGGAAGACGGCGCCAGGCGUCGUACACUUCUUUUGUCCGGGAACAAAGGCCGCCACGCGUGGCGUUGUGAGUGUACCCGAAGAAUCAGGAUCGGCUAACUCCGUGCCAGCAGCCGCGGUAAUACGGAGGAUGCGAGCGUUAUCCGGUUUUAUUGGGUUUAAGGGGUGCGUAGGCGGUCCGGAACGUCAGCGGGAAAUGCCCGGGGCUCAACUCCGGCGAGCCGUUGAUACUGUCCGACUAGAGACGGCGAGAGGUACGCGGAAUGUGCGGUGUAGCGGUGAAAUGCAUAGAGAUCGCGCAGAACUCCGAUUGCGAAGGCAGCGUACCGGCUCCGGACUGACGCUGAGGCACGAAAGCGUGGGUAUCGAACAGGAUUAGAUACCCUUGUAGUC
Molecule: ribosomal RNA, 459 nt
Filed under: uncultured bacterium
Lineage: Bacteria
Description: partial 16S ribosomal RNA
Rfam family: Bacterial small subunit ribosomal RNA
Source: RNAcentral